RNAcentral lists this unclassified non-coding RNA (1278 nucleotides) under Ceratitis capitata (Mediterranean fruit fly). RNAcentral describes it as "8-oxo-dGDP phosphatase NUDT18, transcript variant X6". The record is from RNAcentral. Lineage: Eukaryota; Metazoa; Arthropoda; Insecta; Diptera; Tephritidae.
AUGCCUCAAACCAAUGCCACAGAUGCCAUUGAGCAAAAGCUAUUGGGCAUACUUGCGGCGCAAGAUCUGGGUGAUAUAACACAGGAGCUUUGUGAUUUCUCGCUGGAGGAGCAAAAUGCCACUGCCGAGGCACAGGGCAUACAACCAAGCGCAUCAGCCGAUUAUGUACCAGUCUUAGGCAAAUCUGUAACAUAUAUUGUAGCGUGCGUCUUAUUCAACGAACGUGAUGAGGUGCUUAUGAUGCAGGAGGCAAAGCAAUCGUGCGCGGGAAAAUGGUAUUUACCAGCUGGUCGCAUGGAAAAGGGCGAAACAAUCUGCGAGGCAGCCGUACGUGAGGUGUAUGAAGAAACCGGCUUAAAUGUAGACGCCACUACGCUUUUGGCAAUCGAAGUGGCAGGCGGCUCAUGGUUUCGUUUUGUGCUCACCGGGCGCGUAACAGGCGGUAUUUUGAAAACACCCGCUCAAGCGGAUAACGAAUCCUUGCAAGCUAAAUGGGUUUCCCGGCUCUCUGAGUUACCGUUACGCGCCAAUGAUAUCUUAAACCUAAUCGAUAUUGGGCGUGCAUAUAAUGAACGCACAACGGCACCUCAGCCUCUUAUGUAUCAUCCAGAAAUAUUGCCGACUAAAUACUCACAUCACAAAAACUAUUUGCGCGUAGUCGCAGUGAUACGCAAACGUGCCACAAAUUCCUUGAAUGUGCUCGUUAGUGAAAAGAAUGUACAUCAUUUCCCCACAGUCGAGGUACAUCCCCAACGCAGUCUACACUCGACGCUAAGGAAAUUUAUGAUUGAACUAUUCGGUGCGGAAUUGCCCCAGCACCGACCACAUGGCAUACUCAGCGUCGAACACUGCCCCUCGCCCAUGCCUUACACGAGCGAUGGCAUUUGUCUUAAUGUGCUAGUCGUGUUUCGGCCGCCUUUGGAAGAGGUUGCGCUCAUCGGUAAAUGUACGUGGCAUGAGUUGGGACGUCAGCUAGAGGAGAAAUUGGCACGCAUAUUAUCCAGCAAAUAUUCGACAAUUCCAUUAAAUGUUAUACGAUAAAUUGGGAUGGGAUUAGCAUGGAGCAGUUCGAGGGGCAAUAAGUAACCAAGCAAAUAGUUAAGGGCGCGACGAAUGUAUUGUAUAGCAAGGCAAGCAAAUUUACAAUGUAAAUCAACAAGUGGCAAGGAAUUAAAGGAGCACGUUGCAAGUCUACACAGUGCGGCACUAUUAAGCAUAUGCAAUAAUAUUUAUUUUUAUAUAUUUUGAUUUUACAUACAUACUUAUAUACACCAAUUA